Grus americana (Whooping crane) is the source of this 777-nucleotide long non-coding RNA. RefSeq lists it as uncharacterized. The transcript has 3 exons. Lineage: Eukaryota; Metazoa; Chordata; Aves; Gruiformes; Gruidae. The record is from RefSeq and is a predicted model, not a curated record.
AGGCGUUUUGCUCUUUCACAGCUUCAGCAGCAAUUGUUGCACACAAAGAACUUUCCGAGUGGCUUCGCAAUUCCAAGUAGUGGAGUUUCGGGUCCUACAGACCCUUUCAAACGUCUGUGUGCACUACUAGCGGUAACACCGCUACGAAAGGGACAGGCGGUAUUUUCUUCCAACUAUUUUUACGUCGCACCUCUCAAGAUCUGUAGAUUUUGAAGAGAGUAGCUACGAGCACCAGCGAGAAACGUCCCCCUCAUGAGCUCCAACCGGAGGGACAGCCGGUACCCGGGGAAAGAGAACAAAGCCUCCACAAGGAUGAAACGACGCAUCUACUGAUCUACAGACACACAUUAACUGAAGAUUUACCUGAGACCCUGUAAUAUGAAGACAGACAGAGAAAAGAACGGGAUAGAAACAGUCCCCUGGAAGGAAAGAACAUUUACUGGCAACUACAGUAGUGUGUGUGGGGAGGGAAAAAACAGGCUAAACUACUCUAAGCUCACCAUCUCUACACUGAUUGAUAAGAUAUUUAUAGGGACAUAAAACAUCACUAGUACACACUAUAUGAACACUGAUCACCGUUAAAAAAUAUCAUAUAUGUAUGUAUAGGAUAUAACAAGAUAGUAAAGGUUAUAGUUUUGCCAAUUAUCGAAGAUAUAUUUUUCUCCCUCAUUCUAGUGCAUUUACAAUAAAUUGGGCUAAUUUUCUAUUCAGGUAAAUAAAUGUACUCUUAAAAAGCUCUAUUUUUAUUCUGCCCAAUAGGUAACAAAACUAUUUAAG